GUGGGUAGAGCUCAGUGGUAGAGUGCAUGCUUAGCAUGUGCAAGGUCCUGGGUUCAAUCCCCAGUACCUCCA
RNAcentral lists this transfer RNA (72 nucleotides) under Camelus bactrianus (Bactrian camel). It matches the Rfam family "tRNA". Rfam says of the family: Transfer RNA (tRNA) molecules are approximately 80 nucleotides in length. Their secondary structure includes four short double-helical elements and three loops (D, anti-codon, and T loops). Lineage: Eukaryota; Metazoa; Chordata; Mammalia; Artiodactyla; Camelidae. RNAcentral also lists the same sequence under 1 other name. The record is from Rfam by way of RNAcentral.